AGUCUGCAACCCGACUCCACGAAGCUGGAUUCGCUAGUAAUCGCGCAUCAGCCACGGCGCGGUGAAUACGUUCCCGGGCCUUGUACGCACCGCCCGUCAAGCCAUGGGAGCCGGGGGUACCUGAAGUGCGUAACCGCGAGGAUCGCCCUAGGGUAAAACUGGUGACUGGGGCUAAGUCGUAACAAGGUACC
RNAcentral lists this ribosomal RNA (191 nucleotides) under uncultured bacterium. Its description in RNAcentral is "partial 16S ribosomal RNA". It matches the Rfam family "Bacterial small subunit ribosomal RNA", at positions 1302 to 1500 of the family's 1533-position model. The record is from RNAcentral.